CAGUCGCCGCGGUAAGACAGAGGAUGCAAGCGUUAUCAGGAAUGAUUGGGCGUAAAGCGUCUGUAGGUGGCUUUUCAAGUCCGUCGUCAAAUCCCAGGGCUCAACCCUGGACAGGCGGUGGAAACUACCAAGUUGGAGUACGGUAGGGGCAGAGGGAAUUUCCGGUGGAGCGGUGAAAUGCGUUGAGAUCGGAAAGAGCACCAACGGCGAAAGCACUCUGCUGGGCCGACGUUGACACUGAGAGACGAACGCUAGGGGAGAAAACGGGAUUAGAUACCCCUGUAGUCCCUGUCUCUUAUAU
Molecule: ribosomal RNA, 301 nt
Filed under: uncultured bacterium
Lineage: Bacteria
Description: partial 16S ribosomal RNA
Rfam family: Bacterial small subunit ribosomal RNA
Source: RNAcentral